Molecule: ribosomal RNA, 500 nt
Filed under: uncultured bacterium
Lineage: Bacteria
Description: partial 16S ribosomal RNA
Rfam family: Bacterial small subunit ribosomal RNA
Source: RNAcentral
AUUGAACGCUGGCGGCAUGCCUUACACAUGCAAGUCGAACGGCAGCACGGGAGCAAUCCUGGUGGCGAGUGGCGAACGGGUGAGUAAUGUAUCGGAACGUGCCCAGUCGUGGGGGAUAACGUAGCGAAAGCUACGCUAAUACCGCAUACGAUCUGGGGAUGAAAGCGGGGGACCGUAAGGCCUCGCGCGAUUGGAGCGGCCGAUAUCAGAUUAGGUGGUUGGUGGGGUAAAGGCCUACCAAGCCGACGAUCUGUAGCUGGUCUGAGAGGACGACCAGCCACACUGGGACUGAGACACGGCCCAGACUCCUACGGGAGGCAGCAGUGGGGAAUUUUGGACAAUGGGCGCAAGCCUGAUCCAGCAAUGCCGCGUGCAGGAUGAAGGCCUUCGGGUUGUAAACUGCUUUUGUACGGAGCGAAAAGGCUCUCUCUAAUACAGGGGGCUCAUGACGGUACCGUAAGAAUAAGCACCGGCUAACUACGUGCCAGCAGCCGCAGUAA